GCCUGACUCUGCCUGUCCUCAUAAACUGUAAUUAAGAGCGCGGACCUGAUUUAAACUCCAUAUUUUUAGUAAGUAACGUUCCAGCAAUAAAACAGAGCUUUUAACUUGAAAGAACGAAAUCUGUUUUAAUGAUGUAAAUAAACAUCACUGUGACAGCGCUAGUCACAGUUUCACCGCAGCAAAGCCUGUACUGAUUUCUGCCCCCAAUAACCCGUUCAGUAACUUCCAAUAGCCUUUAAUAGUCUUCAGUAGCCUUCAACAGUCUAACCUGGCGGUCGUGUCAACUAAACUCCGUAGUUAUAAACAUCCUGAGGUGAAUAAAUAUUUGAUAAGGAUGUUUUCUGUUGCUGCUUGGGGCAAAAACCAAGGAUUCCCAGCAGAGCAAAAUGAAACUAUAGUCUGGCAUCCCCGGGCUCCUACUGCCAGGGCCCCUACUGCCAGGACCCCUACUGAAAGGUCCCCUACUGCCGGGGAACCUACUGGUGGGAUCACUGUAGUGGUUGACACGGCGCGUUGGAGAUAUCAGAAACAGUCGAGAAAAACAAUCGGGCACUUCCUCGCCGGCUGUCUAAGUAUUGCAUCACCACUGAACAAUUCCAAUCCCUUUUUUGGAUGUCAACAUCUGUAUUCGGUGAAAAACUCUGCGUGGGCAAAUGUAAUCAGUGUUGUAGCUACAACAAUCCUGAUUGUUCUACUGCUUUUUGACUUUAUCAUGGAUUUUGGAUAUGAGUGCAGCGGAUUAUGGGAUUAUGACUGCAUAGAAGCUAAGCACCGGAUUCAUGUGCUCACAGGAUUCCUGACGGUGUUCACGUUCUUUGCCUGCUUCAGCUCCGUAAUGUUCUUAGGGAACAGAUUAAAAGGCUACUGCCCCGAAGCAACGGGAUCUGUUGUCAGUAUGCCUCCAACCCAAUCAGCUGACUCUUCAAUGCCCACUGCAUUCCAAGAUCCCGCCGGUCAUCAGGAAUCUGUUGUCAGUGUGCCUCCAACCCAAUCAGCCCACGCUUCAGCGCCCACUGCAUUCCAAGACUACACAGAUCAACGGAACUCGUGUUACAGUGAUUAUGGAACAACAGCGAUGGAUGUGCACAACACAUGUUCAGACGAUCCUCCAUCAUACGAUGAAUGUGUCCAAACAGACUGGCAAUGAAGAAGUUCUGAGAAGUCCUGAGAUGCUGUCAAGAUGCUUUUUUUCAGGUUAUAACCUCUUAAAUUAAUGUAUAUGUAUAAAUGUUCAUCACUGCUGUCAUAUUGAUCCCUUAAAUGUGCACAAUUUUCAUUAGAAUCUUUUCCAGCAUUUAAAAAAUGUGAGUAUUGCAAAACAAAUGGCCAAAGGGAAUGACUGUAAGUCAUGUAAGUGUACUGUAAAAAAAAACUAAGCGCCCUAAGUGCUGAACAAUAGUCGCUGCUUUUUUUUCACACUGUGAAGCUCCAGCUCAUCCCAAAUCACCAUCUUAGCUUAGGGUUUAGGUCAGGAGAUUGUGGAGAGUUAACACUUAUUUUGUUAACUACAUAAUUCCCUAUUUGUCCAUUAAUUGAUUUUAUACACAGUCUUUUAUAUUACAAUUCAGAAUGUGUUACAAUUCAGAAAAUACAUUAAAGAAAAAAAAAACAAGAAAAAACAUUAAAUGCUAAGGUGUGUCUAAACUUAUAUAUUACACGUAUUGCUUUACUGGUUGCGUUGUUGCCAUAUUGUUUAAAGUGUCUGUGUCAUUUGUGUCAUGUUGUAAGUUUUGUUGUAACUUUUGCUUUAAAUAAACUUAAACCUGAAAAUUCUCUUUUAUUUUUU
This 1786-nucleotide long non-coding RNA is filed under the name Astyanax mexicanus (Mexican tetra). RNAcentral's name for it is "lncRNA (ENSAMXG00005021085.1)". Lineage: Eukaryota; Metazoa; Chordata; Actinopteri; Characiformes; Acestrorhamphidae. The record is from RNAcentral.